Molecule: ribosomal RNA, 861 nt
Filed under: uncultured bacterium
Lineage: Bacteria
Description: bacterial SSU rRNA
Rfam family: Bacterial small subunit ribosomal RNA
Source: RNAcentral
AGAGUUGAUCAUGGCUCAGGAUGAACGCUAGCGGCAGGCCUAAUACAUGCAAGUCAAGGGGGCAGCAAUGUCACCGGCGGACGGGUGCGUAACGCGUACACAACAUACCUUUAAGCGGGGGAUAGCACUGGGAAACUGGUGGUAAUACCCCAUAACAUUGCGAGGCGGCAUUGCUUUGCAAUUAAAGUUACGGCGCUUAGAGAUUGGUGUGCGUCUGAUUAGCUAGUUGGCGGGGUAAAGGCCCACCAAGGCGACGAUCAGUAGGGGGUGUGAGAGCAUGACCCCCCACAUGGGUACUGAGACACGGACCCAACUCCUACGGGAGGCAGCAGUAAGGAAUAUUGGACAAUGGACGGAAGUCUGAUCCAGCCAUGCCGCGUGAAGGAUGAAGGCGCUCAGCGUUGUAAACUUCUUUUGGAUGGGGACAAACCACUUCAUUUAUGGAGUGCUGAGGGUACCAUCAGAAUAAGCACUGGCUAACUCCGUGCCAGCAGCCGCGGUAAUACGGAGGGUGCAAGCGUUAUCCGGAAUCACUGGGUUUAAAGGGUGCGUAGGCGGUCUGAUAAGUCAGUUGUGAAAUUCCCCGGCUUAACCGGGUGGACUGCGAUUGAUACUGUUAGACUUGAAUCAGGUUGAGGUAGGCGGAAUGUGACAUGUAGCGGUGAAAUGCUUAGAUAUGUCAUAGAACACCGAUUGCGAAGGCAGCUUGCUGGGCUUCGAUUGACGCUGAGGCACGAAAGCGUGGGGAGCAAACAGGAUUAGAUACCCCUGGUAGUCCACGCCCUAAANCGAUGUUUACCUUGCUGUUCCCUGGCUAGANCUGGGAGUGGCGAAGCGAAAGCGAUAAGUAACCCCCCUGGA